Lolium perenne is the source of this 2642-nucleotide non-coding RNA. The record is from RefSeq and is a predicted model, not a curated record. NCBI's taxonomy places the organism in Eukaryota, Viridiplantae, Streptophyta, Magnoliopsida, Poales, Poaceae.
UAACACCAAGGAUGAAAUUUGAGAGAUCAAAAUCAGAUUCUCCUUUGUAAUAUGAGAAUAUGGCGCCAUUAUGAUUUUCGUUUUCUUUGGACAAAAUAUUUGGAUGUAUGUAACUCCUUGCAAACUACAAUUGUCAUUUUAUCUGUAGGUGGUUAUUGUUUUCCUUGCACCGAGUUCAGACCAGCUGGAAUUAUUCUUGCUUGCAAAGCUUAGGACAUGCGGCUCUCCAUUUACUCCAACAUUUCAAUGUAGCAGUCUCUUUAUCAUAUCUACUUUCUUUUGCUGCAGUGGGGUUUCAGCGGAAAGCCAAGACAAUACAAGUGAGAUAGCUAGCCGCACAAAUCAGUUGUUUGGACACGUGAAGUGUCUUAUGUCAUUGGUGGAUCUCCCAUGGGCUGGAUUUUGUGUGUGUGGCCUGAAGGAAAAGAAGAAUGGCUGUCACUUCAAGCUGAAAAGUCAUAUCACUCACUCAGCCACUCAGGUUGGAGGUUGCUAGCGGGGAAGUUGGUUAUUAUUCAAUCUCGUUUUGGCCAGUUAUGGAGAUACAGACAAGGAAAGUGGCUUUCGCUGGCGUGUGGUAUAUGUUUCAGAAUGGUGCGGAAGGGUUGAGCAGCGAUAGAGAUUUUUUUAGUCCUAGAUUUUUUACUACCGAGAAUGCUUUUGGUAAUGUUUACGGAUGUUCUCAGCCAGAGUUGGGCUUCCUUGUCGACGACUUGCCAUCUCGAGCACCUCUGCAGCCAGGCUCUGGAUGUCCAGGAGUUUCUUACACCACAGCAUUAUUGUUCGUGGAGUCCAUUGUUGUUGCAGGUCUACCCAUUCUGGCUGUUUUCCGGCAUUGUUUCUGGCUGUUAGGUUGUACGUCAUCUCACCCAAACAAUGCUGGAUUCAGAGAAGGCGGGGGUCUGUGGAUGCUAGCAAGUGAGGCAACUUGGCUCGGACCGGCCAUAGCGCUGGUGUUGAUGUCUCCCCAGUCCCCACCGUCCUCCUUUGUCUCCCAGCCACGGCUGGCUUCAGUCCCUCCUCUGAUGUGAUGCUAUGUGAGCAAGAAAAAGAGCAAAAAAGUUAUGUAUCACCAUCCAGCGUCCACACAGCCAGAUUAGUUUUGGAUAACACAUGUACUCUGACCUGCUCAAUAGUCUGAAAUGCCUUCAUUAUUAGGCAGAUAAUGAUACUGCUCUGAAUAAUUCUUUUUUGUUUAGAGCAACGGUGUUUUCAGUAACUCUCCUAGGUAUAGGGUGUUCGUCAACAGCUACUUGCAAGGUGAAGAGAUGUCAACACUUCGUUUUUGAGCCGUGGCCUGUGAGGUACUGAGUACCGUGUCUUCCAUGUGCCCCUGACAAUCUUCGGCAUGCCAACCUUUAAUUUACCAUGUAGAAAUUAUCUAGCUUGAUUCAAUCCACCGGUGUUAUUUUAGGAGAUGCGUGCUGAACUGAAGUAGCUGUAUCAUCAACUGCAAGGUUAAUUAUUAUGUUAUUUUCUUUUGACCUGGAGGUUGAAAACAUGUGGAGGAGGGCAUCACGCCAUGCAAUGACACGAGGGAUCAGCUAGAAACAAGCGGAAGCUUUAACCUGAGAUGUUUAAGAUCUCUGAUGCACAUGGAGCUAGGUCUUUCACAUGUCUUACUCGGUAUGCAGGACAAUGCGGCGCGGAAGGUCUCAUUUAGUUCAGCAGUCGGAUAUCUGUUUGAAAGAUGCGGCGGGCACAAAUAAGUUGUUGUUAAGCCAUAUUUCUACGUCUCAUCCCUCUCUAAUUCUGACCACUCAAGUCCAUGUGGUUUUCUUCAUUUGAUCCUCUGUGCAGCAGCAAAGGCUUGGUCCAUUUGUCUUCCGCAAGAUGCGGAAUGAUGUUUUCUUGGCCCAGGCACGUGACGAAAUAUGAUUUGGAGGCUGACUGCUUUAGUUCUCCUUAUGAUGAUGUGAAUAAAAGGAAGCUUGCCUAUAGCCAUCUUGGUAUUGGAAACAAGUAUGCAAAGACGAGGGGACAAGGAGGUGAGCAAGGGCGAUGAGGGAGGAGCAGACUCACCGACUCGGACUCCUGGGCGAUUUUCAAUGGGGAGCAGGUGACCAAAGUUGAGUAGCUCGGUGAGAUUGUUUUGGCUCAUGUCAUGAAGAGACUGGUCCGAGGGAGGUGACACUGAAUGUGCUGAGCCGAUGUCAUCUGAAGAAUCAAGUACCAAGAUAUUGCUGCUCUAGGCUAGCAUCUGCCACUACUCGAUGUGUUGCUGCUCCAAGGCCAGGUACGGGGGCGAUGUGCUUGGUCCAGUGGAGGAAAGCGUCGUGGGAGAAGAGGAACAUCAGGAGCGGUUGAGAUUGAGCAGGAGAUGAAGGGGUGUUGCCAUGCGCAUCACCGUGCCCGGUUUACCUUGGGCUCAUCAUCAAGUACGAUGGCAGGAGUUGGGUCUGAUCCAGAGGCGGUGUGGUUAGCGAGUCAUUUGUUCUUUUUAAGUAUUAGCAAACUUUUGUUGACAUCAUGCCAAAUGUCCAUGAAUCAAAAUAGAAACCUUAGGGCCGAAUCUGUGUCUCCAUUUUGCGAAUUGCGCCAUGAGUCCUGUGUUCUUUUUAAGUAUUAGCAAACUUUUGGCGACAUCAUGCCAAAUGUCCAUGAAUCAAAAUAGAAACCUUAGGGCCAAAUCUGUGUCUCCA